Molecule: ribosomal RNA, 497 nt
Filed under: uncultured bacterium
Lineage: Bacteria
Description: partial 16S ribosomal RNA
Rfam family: Bacterial small subunit ribosomal RNA
Source: RNAcentral
GAUGAACGCUGGCGGCGUGCCUAAUACAUGCAAGUCGAGCGAACAGACGAGGAGCUUGCUCCUCUGACGUUAGCGGCGGACGGGUGAGUAACACGUGGAUAACCUACCUAUAAGACUGGGAUAACUUCGGGAAACCGGAGCUAAUACCGGAUAAUAUAUUGAACCGCAUGGUUCAAUAGUGAAAGACGGUUUUGCUGUCACUUAUAGAUGGAUCCGCGCCGCAUUAGCUAGUUGGUAAGGUAACGGCUUACCAAGGCAACGAUGCGUAGCCGACCUGAGAGGGUGACCGGCCACACCGGAACUGAGACACGGUCCAGACUCCUAAGGGAGGCAGCAGUAGGGAAUCUUCCGCAAUGGGCGAAAGCCUGACGGAGCAACGCCGCGUGAGUGAUGAAGGUCUUCGGAUCGUAAAACUCUGUUAUUAGGGAAGAACAAAUGUGUAAGUAACUAUGCACGUCUUGACGGUACCUAAUCAGAAAGCCACGGCUAAGUACGUG